RNAcentral lists this non-coding RNA (23 nucleotides) under Arabidopsis thaliana (thale cress). The record is from RNAcentral. Lineage: Eukaryota; Viridiplantae; Streptophyta; Magnoliopsida; Brassicales; Brassicaceae.
UGUUUAUGUGCUAAUUGAUGGCC